This 515-nucleotide ribosomal RNA is filed under the name uncultured bacterium. RNAcentral's name for it is "bacterial SSU rRNA". It matches the Rfam family "Bacterial small subunit ribosomal RNA", at positions 125 to 674 of the family's 1533-position model. The record is from RNAcentral.
CGUACCCUUCGGUUCGGAAUAACUCAGGGAAACUUGAGCUAAUACCGGAUACGCCCUUUUGGGGAAAGGUUUACUGCCGAAGGAUCGGCCCGCGUCUGAUUAGCUUGUUGGUGGGGUAACGGCCUACCAAGGCGACGAUCAGUAGCUGGUCUGAGAGGAUGAUCAGCCACACUGGGACUGAGACACGGCCCAGACUCCUACGGGAGGCAGCAGCGGGGAAUAUUGGACAAUGGGCGCAAGCCUGAUCCAGCCAUGCCGCGUGAGUGAUGAAGGCCUUAGGGUUGUAAAGCUCUUUUGUCCGGGACGAUAAUGACGGUACCGGAAGAAUAAGCCCCGGCUAACUUCGUGCCAGCAGCCGCGGUAAUACGAAGGGGGCUAGCGUUGCUCGGAAUCACUGGGCGUAAAGGGCGCGUAGGCGGCCGAUUAAGUCGGGGGUGAAAGCCUGUGGCUCAACCACAGAAUUGCCUUCGAUACUGGUUGGCUUGAGACCGGAAGAGGACAGCGGAACUGCGAGU